UACGAAGGGGGCUAGCGUUGCUCGGAAUCACUGGGCGUAAAGGGUGCGUAGGCGGGUUUUUAAGUCAGGGGUGAAAUCCUGGAGCUCAACUCCAGAACUGCCUUUGAUACUGAAGAUCUCGAGUCCGGGAGAGGUGAGUGGAACUGCGAGUGUAGAGGUGAAAUUCGUAGAUAUUCGCAAGAACACCAGUGGCGAAGGCGGCUCACUGACCCGAUACUGACGCUGAGGCACGAAAGCGUGGGGAGCAAACAGG
This 253-nucleotide ribosomal RNA is filed under the name uncultured bacterium. RNAcentral describes it as "partial 16S ribosomal RNA". It matches the Rfam family "Bacterial small subunit ribosomal RNA", at positions 524 to 776 of the family's 1533-position model. The record is from RNAcentral.